RNAcentral lists this ribosomal RNA (465 nucleotides) under uncultured bacterium. RNAcentral's name for it is "partial 16S ribosomal RNA". It matches the Rfam family "Bacterial small subunit ribosomal RNA", at positions 339 to 795 of the family's 1533-position model. The record is from RNAcentral.
CUACGGGAGGCAGCAGUGGGGAAUAUUGGACAAUGGGGGAAACCCUAAUCCAGCAAUGCCGCGUGUGUGAAGAAGGCCUGCGGGUUGUAAAGCACUUUCGGUUGGGAGGACUGCUUCUAGCACUAAUAUUGUUGGAAGUUGACGUUACCUUCAGAAGAAGCACCGGCUAACUCCGUGCCAGCAGCCGCGGUAAUAGGGAGGGUGCAAGCGUUAAGCGGAAUUACUAGGCGUAAAGCGCGCGUAGGCGGCUAGAUCAGUCGGGUGUGAAAGCCCCGGGCUUAACCUGGGAACUGCAUCCGAUACUGUCUAGCUUGAGUACAGGAGAGGAGAGUGGAAUUCCACAUGUAGCGGUGAAAUGCGUAGAUAUGUGGAGGAACACCAAUGGCGAAGGCAGCUCUCUGGCCUGAUACUGACGCUGAGGUGCGAAAGCGUGGGGAGCAAACAGGAUUAGAUACCCUCGUAGUC